This 460-nucleotide ribosomal RNA is filed under the name uncultured bacterium. RNAcentral describes it as "partial 16S ribosomal RNA". It matches the Rfam family "Bacterial small subunit ribosomal RNA", at positions 338 to 795 of the family's 1533-position model. The record is from RNAcentral.
CCUACGAGUGACAGCAGUGAGGAAUAUUGGUCAAUGGACGAGAGUCUGAACCAGCCAAGUAGCGUGAAGGAUGACUGCCCUAUGGGUUGGAAAAUUCUUUUAUAAAGGAAUAAAACGAGGCACGUGUGCCUUUUUGCAUGUACUUUAUGAAUAAGGAUCGGCUAACUCCGUGCCAGAAGCCGCGGUAAUACGGAGGAUCCGAGCGUUAUCCGGAUUUAUGGGGUUUAAAGGGAGCGUAGAUGGGUUGUUAAGUCAGUUGUGCAAGUUUGCGGCUCAACCGUCAAAUUGCAAUUGAUACUGGCAGUCUUGAGUACAGUUGAGGUAGGCGGAAUUCGUGGUGUAGCGGUGAAAUGCUUAGAUAUCACGAAGAACCCCGAUUGCGAAGGCAGCUUACUAAACUGUGACUGACAUUGAUGCUCGAAAGUGUGGGUAUCAAACAGGAUUAGAUACCCGGGUAGUC